AGUGAACGCUGGCUGUAGGCCUAACACAUGCAAGUCGAACGGCAGCACAGUAAGAGCUUGCUCUUACGGGUGGCGAGUGGCGGACGGGUGAGGAAUACAUCGGAAUCUACUUUUUCGUGGGGGAUAACGUAGGGAAACUUACGCUAAUACCGCAUACGACCUACGGGUGAAAGCAGGGGAUCUUCGGACCCUGCGCGAUUGAAUGAGCCGAUGUCGGAUUAGCUAGUUGGCGGGGUAAAGGCCCACCAAGGCGACGAUCCGUAGCUGGUCUGAGAGGAUGAUCAGCCACACUGGAACUGAGACACGGUCCAGACUCCUACGGGAGGCAGCAGUGGGGAAUAUUGGACAAUGGGCGCAAGCCUGAUCCAGCCAUACCGCGUGGGUGAAGAAGGCCUUCGGGUUGUAAAGCCCUUUUGUUGGGAAAGAAAAGCAGCAGGUUAAUACCCCGCUGUUCUGACGGUACCCAAAGAAUAAGCACCGGCUAACUUCGUG
Molecule: ribosomal RNA, 492 nt
Filed under: uncultured bacterium
Lineage: Bacteria
Description: partial 16S ribosomal RNA
Rfam family: Bacterial small subunit ribosomal RNA
Source: RNAcentral